GGCAUACGGCUCAGUAACACGUAGAUAACCUGCCCUUUGGAGGAGGAUAACCUCGGGAAACUGAGGACAAUACUCCAUAAUUGACUAAUUCUGGAAUGAGUAGUCAAACAAAAAGUUAAUUGGGAAUGGCCUUUUUUCUGCCAAAGGAUGGGUCUGCGUCGGAUUAGGCAGUUGGUGGUGUAACGGACCACCAAACCUACAAUCCGUAGGGGCAUUGAGAGAUGAAGCCCCGAGAAGGGCACUGAGACAAGGGCCCUAGCCCUAAGGGGUGCAGCAGGCGCGAAACCUCCACAAUGCGCGAAAGCGUGAUGGGGGGACUCCGAGUGCGCUAUCACUGAUAGUGCUGUGGCGAAGCGUAAAUAACUUCGCAAGAAAGGGGUGGGCAAGACAGGUGCCAGCAGCCGCGGUAACCCCUGCGCCUCAAGUGGUGGCCAUGUUUAUUGGGCCUAAAGCAUCCGUAGCCGGACUAGCAAGUCCUCUGUGAAAUCGUCCAGCCUAACUGGUCGGCGUGCAGAUGAUACUACUAGUCUAGAGACCGGGAGGGGGCAGAGGUAUUCCUGGAGUAGUGGUUAAAUGCUAUAAUCCCAGGAGGACCAACGGUGGCGAAGGCGUCUGCCUGGAACGGGUCUGACGGUGAAGGAUGAAAGCUGGGGGAGCGAAACGGAUUAGAUACCCGUGUAGUCCCAGCCGUAAACGCUGCCCACUAGGUGUUGCAUAUCUUAAUGGGUAUGCAGUGCCGAAGCGAAGGCAUUAAGUGGGCCGCCUGGGGAGUACGGUCGCAAGGCUGAAACUUAAAGGAAUUGGCGGGGGAACACAACAAGGGGUGUAUCGUGCGGUUUAAUUAGAUCCAACACUGGAAAUCUCACCAGGAGCGACAGCAGGAUGAAGGUCAGUUUGAAGAGCUUACCUAACGCGCUGAGCGGAGGUGCAUGGCCGUCGUCAGCUCGUGCUGUAAAGUGUCCUGUUAAGUCAGGUAACGAGCGAGACCCACGUCCUUAUUUGCUACUAAUCUUCUGCGGAGGGUUAGGCACAAUAAGGAGACUGCCUCGGGCAACGAGGAGGAAGGUGUGGGCAACGGUAGGUCCGUAUGCCCCUAAUCCCCUGGGCUACACGCGCGAUUCAAUGGUAGGAACAAAGGGCUGCGACUCCGAAAGGAGAAGCAAAUCCCCCAAAUCCUAUCCUGGUCUGGAUCGAGGGUUGGAACCCACCCUCGUGAAAUCGAAAUCCCUAGUAAUCGCAUUUCAUGAAGUUGCGAUGAAUGUGUCCCUGUUCCUUGCACACACUGCCCGUCAAACCACUCGAGUUGGGUGUGGAUGAGGCUCCAUCUGAGGAUGGUUUCGAAUCUGUGCUCGACGAGAUGGGUUAAGUCGACACAAGGUA
Molecule: ribosomal RNA, 1380 nt
Filed under: metagenome
Description: bacterial SSU rRNA
Rfam family: Archaeal small subunit ribosomal RNA
Source: RNAcentral